UGGGGAAUAUUGGACAAUGGGCGAAAGCCUGAUCCAGCCAUGCCGCGUGUGUGAAGAAGGUCUUCGGAUUGUAAAGCACUUUAAGUUGGGAGGAAGGGCAGUAAGCGAAUACCUUGCUGUUUUGACGUUACCGACAGAAUAAGCACCGGCUAACUCUGUGCCAGCAGCCGCGGUAAUACAGAGGGUGCAAGCGUUAAUCGGAAUUACUGGGCGUAAAGCGCGCGUAGGUGGUUCGUUAAGUUGAAUGUGAAAGCCCCGGGCUCAACCUGGGAACUGCAUCCAAAACUGGCGAGCUAGAGUAGGGCAGAGGGUGGUGGAAUUUCCUGUGUAGCGGUGAAAUGCGUAGAUAUAGGAAGGAACACCAGUAGCGAAGGCGACCACCUGGGCUCAUACUGACACUGAGGUGCGAAAGCGUGGGGAGCAAACAGG
Molecule: ribosomal RNA, 429 nt
Filed under: Pseudomonadota bacterium
Lineage: Bacteria; Pseudomonadati; Pseudomonadota
Description: Proteobacteria bacterium partial 16S ribosomal RNA
Rfam family: Bacterial small subunit ribosomal RNA
Source: RNAcentral